Leptonychotes weddellii (Weddell seal) is the source of this 383-nucleotide non-coding RNA. The record is from RefSeq and is a predicted model, not a curated record. Lineage: Eukaryota; Metazoa; Chordata; Mammalia; Carnivora; Phocidae.
CUGAACCCAGGCCAGGAAGAGCAAGACUUGGUUCCAGAAGGCUCUGAAACAAUGUUUGCAGAAAAGCUUCAGAAGCCUAGGGAUGGGUGCACUCCAUGACCUAGUCUCUGAGUAAGUGUUUCUACGAUGUAUGGAGCAGGACUGGGGAGAUGUGGAAAAGGUGUGUAUCACAGGCCCAGGAGGCAGUGCUGGAUGUUGGUAGUUCUGCCUUUGGAAAUGACUUCCUUCUGGCAUUGCCCGAGGCUCCCUCGCUUAUGACGAGAUGAUAAAAGAUGGGACCCAUGCCUAUGGGACCAGAGGAAUCAGAGGAGCAGCAGUCUCCACUGCAGAUUAAAUCAUGGUACAAAGAGGGCUGCCUGGGGGGCUCAGUCAUUAAGCGUCUG